Molecule: long non-coding RNA, 1676 nt
Organism: Rhinopithecus roxellana (golden snub-nosed monkey)
Lineage: Eukaryota; Metazoa; Chordata; Mammalia; Primates; Cercopithecidae
Exons: 2
Source: RefSeq, a predicted model, not a curated record
CUGGUACUUUCCCCCGUUUCAUACUUUUCCUGUUACUAUAACCAUGGUCUGUACCUUCUCUAGAAAGGCGACUAAAACAUGUUUAGGACAUCUGGGCGGCUAUACUGAGAUCCCAGCGUGUGGCAAUCCAGCCAUUACGGGAGCCGCACUGCUGAAGCACAGGUGCGUCCUGCCGGCUCUUAAGCCCAAUUAGGAGGCAGGGUUAAUUGAUGGUGGAACAGAGCGGACCCUGCUGUGCAUGACGUACCCAAGCUGUGUCAGCUGCACUUGUGGCUUGUCCCAUGACCCUUUGGCCCAUCCUGCUGUGAGUGUGGCUGUCAGUCAGGGUUGAGAGUUUAGAGAGAAGUGGGCAGGCAGCUUCAGGCCCCACGUUGGUGUUGGCCUGGGCACCUGUUGGAUCAACACAAUAACUGCACCCUGGAGUUCCUGGAAGCUGCCUUCUGCUCAGCCAGGCCUGCUUGUGGACGGAGCCCAUGCCAGCUACAUGUGCCAGGGAAGCCACAGCUUGGCUGGUGAGCAAUGCAGUUCCGGGAAAGUGUAGGCUCUCUGUGUUCUUUCCUCUCUCGCAGACCAGGGGCAGCCUUGGGUCCCUUGGGGGUCACUAUGUUAUACCUGCUUUUUAUCUGUCUGGGCAGGAGCUGCUCAAGCCACAUCUUAUGACACUGAGGAGGACAGCACAUUGCACUCUCACCUCCUUUGCAGUUAAGUGUGAUAUAGUGCCAAUAGAGUGUGAAAGAAAAGAAAGAAGAUGAUUCACCUCCCAAAGAAGGCGAUUCCCCACUGCUGUGUCCCUUCUAUCACCUUCAUUCAAAAAACCAAAAUGGACCCGGGAACCACGUGUUGAAGAUGGGAGAGCUCCAAAAGAGACUGGAGCCCUGAGUCACCACCUGGAGGAAAACUACCCACCCAUCAGGAAUUUAUACUAUACAAUUGGGAGUUUUUGGGUAACAGCAGCUACUUUAACUAAAACACCCAGGGACAAGAGUUAUUAUUGCACACACUGGUUACCUUUUUGUAUGUUUGGGUCCUCUCUGUUCGAUGAGACUGCACAUUCCUUUGAAACACGUCUGUUUAAAAUUCUUAUAUCCUCAGACAGCCUAGCAGAGAGUAUGCACAGAGUGAGCCUUCAGUAAAUGCUGAGUAAAUAAGCUCCUAAAGGAUGAAACUGGGUCUUCGAAGCUUGUUCUGACCAGUACUUAGUAUAGGAUUUUGUGCUGUUGGUCACUUUUCAUAAAGGUUCUUGCCAUUAAGGAACUUGAUAUCCAAGGUACUCACAGAGUCAAAAUUCAGGGGAACAAACAGAAGAGAUAUGUCCAAAAAUCCAUUUAAAAUUUCACGGACAGAUAUUUAUCUCUUUAAUCCUGGAAGCUGUUGCACGUAAGGGAAGUUCAGUAGAACGAAAACAGGACUGCAAGCUGGGAGGAGAUUUGGGGUCUCUUGGCCAACUCUGCCACAAAUUGUGUUACCUUCAGUUUCCCUGCUGGUAAAAUGAAGUCAGUGGUCCCCAAAAUGAAAUUUGGACUAAUGGCAAAUUAGCUAGCAUUUGAUUAUACAUCGAUAGGUUCCCCAUGUGAUUUUAAUGCACACAUCAGAUUUGGGAACCAUUAGGUAGGUGAUCUUAUCCUAUGAGUCUAUCUUUUUCAUCAUGGAAAAAUAAAUGUGUUUUGCUGACCGAA